RNAcentral lists this ribosomal RNA (253 nucleotides) under uncultured bacterium. RNAcentral describes it as "partial 16S ribosomal RNA". It matches the Rfam family "Bacterial small subunit ribosomal RNA", at positions 524 to 776 of the family's 1533-position model. The record is from RNAcentral.
UACGAAGGGGGCUAGCGUUGUUCGGAAUUACUGGGCGUAAAGCGCGCGCAGGCGGUUCGAUAAGUUGGGGGUGAAAUCCCCGGGCUCAACCCGGGAAUUGCCUUCAAGACUGUCGAGCUAGAGGACGAGAGAGGUGAGUGGAAUUCCCAGUGUAGAGGUGAAAUUCGUAGAUAUUAGGAAGAACACCGGUGGCGAAGGCGGCCCACUGGAUCGGUACUGACGCUGAGGUGCGAAAGCGUGGGGAGCAAACAGG